AUACGGAGGGUGCAAGCGUUACUCGGAAUCACUGGGCGUAAAGCGCGCGUAGGCGGUCUUUUAAGUUGGAUGUGAAAGCCUACAGCUCAACUGUAGAACUGCAUCCAAAACUAUUAGACUAGAGUCUGGGAGGGGAAGAUGGAAUUAGUUGUGUAGGGGUAAAAUCCGUAGAAAUAACUAGGAAUACCAAAAGCGAAGGCGAUCUUCUGGAACAGUACUGACGCUGAGGCGCGAAAGCGUGGGGAGCAAACAGGAUUAGAAACCCCGGUAGUCC
Molecule: ribosomal RNA, 274 nt
Filed under: uncultured bacterium
Lineage: Bacteria
Description: partial 16S ribosomal RNA
Rfam family: Bacterial small subunit ribosomal RNA
Source: RNAcentral